Long non-coding RNA from Myotis davidii, 431 nucleotides. RefSeq lists it as uncharacterized. Lineage: Eukaryota; Metazoa; Chordata; Mammalia; Chiroptera; Vespertilionidae. The transcript has 3 exons. The record is from RefSeq and is a predicted model, not a curated record.
UGGCCUCAACGUUUCCCGAACUUGACACUCACCUAAGGCGCUCACUUCCCCAGGCUGCUCCCAGUCAAGGUGCAUUCUGUGGGCCCGGGAUCUGUUCACCACGCCCCGUGCCAACGAGUAAGCCGAGCCUAUCACAUAGGAUUCUCCUGCAAGUCAGCCCUGCAGGGAAGGGGUGAUGGUCCCCAUUUUCUGACGCAGUGUCCUGAUCUUUCCCCGGUACCUGUUGAUGGAAGUGGAGCCAUUAGGGGAAGCGGUGAAGUUAUUAUGAAAAUGAGAUAAUUGGUGUCUGGGAUGUUCUGCUAGUGACCUCUGUACCUGGCCCAUUCUCUUUGCUCUGCUCGUGUCUACCUAACUGCCUACUACAGACAGAGCAUGUACCCGCACACUGAAGGGUCUCGGGUUCGAUUCACAGUCAAGAGCACAUAUCUGAG